This 917-nucleotide long non-coding RNA is filed under the name Manacus vitellinus (golden-collared manakin). RNAcentral's name for it is "lncRNA (ENSMVIG00005009279.1)". The record is from RNAcentral. Lineage: Eukaryota; Metazoa; Chordata; Aves; Passeriformes; Pipridae.
GGCCAGGCGUGCGCAGCCCGGCGGCGUCGGGCUGGGCAGGUCAGCGGGGCGGAGGGCAGCAGGCCCGGCGCGGAGCGUGCAGAGCUGCCCGGCCUGAUUAUGUGCAGAGCGUGUUCCUUCACUCCCUCGGUCUCGUACGCUGCUGAGAGAGGUGUAAACGGAGCGAGGGGCUCGGUAGGGGCCGGGAGGCGUUCAUUCAGAGAGGGAAUUUGAAACGGUGCUCCACAGCCCUCAUUCCGUGGAAGAGAGGGAUGCCGCAGUUUGACAGCCGUGAGUCAGUGUGAAUCCAAGCUCUCCUCCUGUGUGGGCUGUUGGAAAGGAGGUCCCAGCCGCAGAUGCUUCGAGGCUGAGGCAGCAGCAGCGGCACUUUAGCUUCAAGACCGUGAGGGUGACACGGGGAUGUCUGCAACAGGCUGAGCAAUGCGGCUGCGGCAGGUUGUCCCUGUGCCUCGGUGAAAACAGGACGGAGAGGAAAAUAUGAAAGUGAGAAUUGCCUCUUGCCACCUGGAAAGAAAAAUGUAGCCUCUGCUACAAAGGCCAUACUAAGGUGUCAAAUAUAUGAUGACGGGCCACGCGUGGAAGGCAAAGAUAGAUGCAGGGCCCAUCUAAAGAGGAAGCUGAAGAGUGUUGCAUGGUACAAGUGUGUUGGUCAGUGCAAAGCUCCUCUGCUUCAAGAAAUGUUGCUUGUUCUCAAGGAUGAGACAGACACUUCGAAAGCUGGAUUCCUGUAGUAAUGCCUGAAGAGUCAAGAUAAAACCAAGGAGACACAUACACUAUUGGAUUCUUGUUGACUGCACAGGAACAUUACUUGGCUUUGUGAUUAAAUCAUUCUGGGGAUGGGGAUGCUGUCGCUGAAAAAGCACCUGUUAUAAACUACAUUUGACAGGUAAUAAAAUUGAUAUUAUCAGUUGAAGUCA